This 116-nucleotide ribosomal RNA is filed under the name Sulfurovum sp. The record is from RNAcentral. Lineage: Bacteria; Pseudomonadati; Campylobacterota; Epsilonproteobacteria; Campylobacterales; Sulfurovaceae.
GAUGGUGCUGUUAGAGAGAGGGUCAUACCCAGCUCCAUUCCGAACCUGGAAGUCAAGCCUCCCAUCGCCGAUAAUACUGCAGGCUACGUUUGUGGAAAUGUAGGUCAGUGCCAUCU